Molecule: ribosomal RNA, 1358 nt
Filed under: Sugarcane whiteleaf phytoplasma
Lineage: Bacteria; Bacillati; Mycoplasmatota; Mollicutes; Acholeplasmatales; Acholeplasmataceae
Description: bacterial SSU rRNA
Rfam family: Bacterial small subunit ribosomal RNA
Source: RNAcentral
CCAAUUGAAGUUGCUAAGACUGGAUAGGAAAUAAAAAGGCAUCUUUUUAUUUUUAAAAGACCUUUUUCGGAAGGUAUGCUUAAAGAGGGGCUUGCGUCACAUUAGUUAGUUGGCAGGGUAAAGGCCUACCAAGACUAUGAUGUGUAGCUGGACUGAGAGGUUGAACAGCCACAUUGGGACUGAGACACGGCCCAAACUCCUACGGGAGGCAGCAGUAGGGAAUUUUCGGCAAUGGAGGAAACUCUGACCGAGCAACGCCGCGUGAACGAUGAAGUAUUUCGGUAUGUAAAGUUCUUUUAUUGAAGAAGAAAAAAUAGUGGAAAAACUAUCUUGACGAUAUUCAAUGAAUAAGCCCCGGCAAACUAUGUGCCAGCAGCCGCGGUAAUACAUAGGGGGCGAGCGUUAUCCGGAAUUAUUGGGCGUAAAGGGUGCGUAGGCGGUUUAAUAAGUCUAUAGUUUAAUUUCAGUGCUUAACACUGUCCUGCUAUAGAAACUAUUAGACUAGAGUGAGAUAGAGGCAAGUGGAAUUCCAUGUGUAGCGGUAAAAUGCGUAAAUAUAUGGAGGAACACCAGAGGCGUAGGCGGCUUGCUGGGUCUUUACUGACGCUGAGGCACGAAAGCGUGGGGAGCAAACAGGAUUAGAUACCCUGGUAGUCCACGCCGUAAACGAUGAGUACUAAGUGUCGGGAUUACUCGGUACUGAAGUUAACACAUUAAGUACUCCGCCUGAGUAGUACGUACGCAAGUAUGAAACUUAAAGGAAUUGACGGGACUCCGCACAAGCGGUGGAUCAUGUUGAUUAAUUCGAAGAUACUCGAAAAACCUUACCAGGUCUUGACAUACUAGCAAAGCUAUAGCAAUGUAGUGGAGGUUAUCAGGGAUACAGGUGGUGCAAGGUAGUCGUCAGCUCGUGUCGUGAGAUGUUAGGUUAAGUCCUAAAACGAGAGCAACCCUUGUCAUUAGUUGCCAGCAUGUCAUGAUGGGCACUUUAAUGAGACUGUCAAUGAAAAAUAGGAGGAAGGUGAGGAUCACGUCAAAUCAUCAUGCCCCUUAUGAUCUGGGCUACAAACGUGAUACAAUGGCUGUUACAAAGAGUAGCUGAAACGCAAGUUUAUAGCCAAUCUCAUAAAAGCAGUCUCAGUUCGGAUUGAAGUCUGCAACUCGACUUCAUGAAGUUGGAAUCGCUAGUAAUCGCGAAUCAGCAUGUCGCGGUGAAUACGUUCUCGGGGUUUGUACACACCGCCCGUCAAACCACGAAAGUUGGUAAUACUCAAAAACGGUAGCCUAACUUCUUCGGAAGAGGGAACCGUCUAAGGUAGGAUCGAUGAUUGGGGUUAAGUCCGAACAAGUCAAAAGGG